RNAcentral lists this unclassified non-coding RNA (254 nucleotides) under uncultured Acidimicrobiia bacterium. Its description in RNAcentral is "contains 16S-23S intergenic spacer region". It matches the Rfam family "Bacterial small subunit ribosomal RNA", at positions 524 to 776 of the family's 1533-position model. The record is from RNAcentral. Lineage: Bacteria; Bacillati; Actinomycetota; Acidimicrobiia.
UACGUAGGGGGCGAGCGUUGUCCGGAUUCAUUGGGCGUAAAGCGCUUUAAGGCGGUUCAGUAAGUCGGGUGUGAAACCUCCAGGCUCAACCUGGAGACGCCACUCGAUACUGCUGUGACUUGAGUUCGGUAGGGGAUCACGGAAUUCCUGGUGUAGCGGUGAAAUGCGCAGAUAUCAGGAGGAACACCGGUGGCGAAGGCGGUGAUCUGGGCCGACACUGACGCUGUAGAGCGAAAGCGUGGGGAGCGAACAGG